Molecule: transfer RNA, 86 nt
Filed under: Owenweeksia sp.
Lineage: Bacteria; Pseudomonadati; Bacteroidota; Flavobacteriia; Flavobacteriales; Owenweeksiaceae
Also listed under: 1 other name
Description: tRNA-Tyr
Rfam family: tRNA
About the family: Transfer RNA (tRNA) molecules are approximately 80 nucleotides in length.
Source: RNAcentral
GGGGAGAUACUCAAGCGGCCAACGAGGACAGACUGUAAAUCUGUUGGUAUACACCUUCGCAGGUUCGAAUCCUGCUCUCCCCACCA